Canis lupus familiaris (dog) is the source of this 1218-nucleotide long non-coding RNA. RefSeq lists it as uncharacterized. NCBI's taxonomy places the organism in Eukaryota, Metazoa, Chordata, Mammalia, Carnivora, Canidae. The transcript has 2 exons. The record is from RefSeq and is a predicted model, not a curated record.
GGGGAACCGGGCCGGCCCCCUCCCCCCUUCCUUCCUCCCGCUCGGCCGAGGAGGCGCGGGGAGGCCGGCUGCCCUUUGCAGCCCUGCUGCGUCCGUCCGUCUGUCUGUCGGGGCCGUGCCCGUUCGGGAGCCGGGGGCUGGGGGCGGCGUAGGGCUCUCACCCCGGGACUCGGGAGGACGCUCGGGGCUGUUUGUCUGUCCCCGGGGAGGAAACCGUCUCAUUUUUGGUUAAAAGAGGAACUUUCCUCUUCUUAUAAUGCUGCACUGCCGGGCAGGACUGCAGUCACCCGUGGGGGGCAGACGUCCGGGUGGGGGUGACUGGUGCGGAAGUUGGCAUUAAGCACUGGCAUCCCUCUCGCUCUGGUGAACGGAGGCUCCCACAGGAGUCAGAAGGGUCUGGAUAUUUUGGGAAGGCAAAUGUUUUGAUCGUUUCAAGAGGAGUCUUUGGGGGCAGAUUUAAAAAAAAAAAAAAAAGCUCUCUGCUUGCUGGGUUUGGGGUCUAGGCUCCUCUCUGAGCCUUCAUGGAGCCGGAGCCUGCCUUCUAGCCCUCUAGAAUGCCCAUGGGUUGUGGAAUUUAGUCUCAGACCUUCCUCUUCCUCUUCGCCACCAACCCUGCUUUUAUUUAUUUGCCAAAGUGUCUUCGAGCUCCCGAGACCGUCAGCUGGGUGUAAAGUCAGGCCGGUCAUCUUGCAGCCUUCCUCAGAAAAAGAGAAUACUCGAGAAGUUUGGGCCAGAAUUCAGCUCCAACAAUAAUCAAGUUGUGUGGUUGACCAUGCCUCCCAACUCUCCAACAAAGACUCUCAUUUUAACCCCCAAGCCCUUCUUCCCCCUCCAGAGCCUUCAGGACCGCCAGAGCCACGGACAGGUUGCCAGACUGAAGAGGCCUUCCUAGUACAAAGUACAGAAUAGGCUGGGGUGAACCACAAUGCUUCGCAGAUAAGGAAAUAAAGACGUAGCAAAGGGCCCAGAAAAGACUGAGGAAUGUGCACGAUGAUCCAUCCAGCUUCUCCAGUCACCAUUUCACUUCAGAUGACUUUAGAUAGCAUGAUGUGAAAACUCUAGGCUUAUUUUCUUGUUCAGAGAGAAGGUUUCUUGCUUAGAAGACUGUUGAUACUUUAUCAUCUUAUCAGGGAUUCUCUCUUACUUUUUCUUUCCUGAGCUCCUUUAUCCUAGAGUAAGCAGAACAGGUUUAAAAAAAAAAAAAAAAGAGGGCAGCCC